This is a long non-coding RNA of Olea europaea var. sylvestris, 428 nucleotides long. RefSeq lists it as uncharacterized. The transcript is spliced from 2 exons. NCBI's taxonomy places the organism in Eukaryota, Viridiplantae, Streptophyta, Magnoliopsida, Lamiales, Oleaceae. The record is from RefSeq and is a predicted model, not a curated record.
UAAUCUUGUUGAUGCUUUGUUUUUCAGGGAAAUCAGGAGUACCUAAGAAACCAUUUGUUGCCAAAUCCUCGUACUUAUAUCAGCGAGCAGGGCUAUUCAUUUUCAAAAAAGACUGAGGUGUUGCUGACAAAGAUUACACCAAUGAAAGAGAUUGUUGAAGUGAUUGAAGGAGGAGAUGCAAUGGAGGAAUGAGGUAUUCUGGUUAUAAAGUGCCCUGAAGUUAUUUCUUCGAAAACUCUCAUUAUCAGCUUCACGUGUUCCAUAGAAUUCGAUUGUCUUAUGUAUGUUGUGACUAUUCUUCGGCUGGAUAUUCUGUUUUCCAUUUUAUCUGUAUCGAAUUUUGUUUCACCAUUUUUAUCUGUAUCGAAGCUUUUGUUAUUUUAUAAUAUUGUUUUUUUAAUGCUAAUUAAUAGUCUGUUUGUUUCCUA